UAACACGUAAACAACCUGCCUUCAGGAUGGGGAUAACAGACGGAAACGACUGCUAAUACCGAAUACGUUCCACGGGCCGCAUGACCUGUGGAAGAAAGGGUAGCCUCUACCUGUAAGCUAUCGCCUGAGGAGGGGUUUGCGUCUGAUUAGGCAGUUGGUGGGGUAACGGCCCACCAAACCAACGAUCAGUAGCCGGUCUGAGAGGAUGAACGGCCACACUGGAACUGAGACACGGUCCAG
This 240-nucleotide ribosomal RNA is filed under the name uncultured bacterium. Its description in RNAcentral is "partial 16S ribosomal RNA". It matches the Rfam family "Bacterial small subunit ribosomal RNA", at positions 111 to 334 of the family's 1533-position model. The record is from RNAcentral.